RNAcentral lists this ribosomal RNA (253 nucleotides) under uncultured bacterium. RNAcentral's name for it is "partial 16S ribosomal RNA". It matches the Rfam family "Bacterial small subunit ribosomal RNA", at positions 524 to 776 of the family's 1533-position model. The record is from RNAcentral.
GACAGAGGGUGCAAACGUUGUUCGGAAUUACUGGGCGUAAAGCGUGUGUAGGCGGCUUUGCAAGUCGGAUGUGAAAGCCCCGGGCUCAACCCGGGAAGUGCACUCGAUACUGCAGAGCUAGAGUGUCGGAGAGGUUGGUGGAAUUCUCGGUGUAGAGGUGAAAUUCGUAGAUAUCGAGAGGAACACCGGCGGCGAAGGCGGCCAACUGGACGACUACUGACGCUGAGACACGAAAGCGUGGGGAGCAAACAGG